UCACCGCUUGCGCGGGCAGUCCCCCUAGAGUCCCCGCCAUGACGCGCUGGCAACUAGGGGCGAGGGUUGCGCUCGUUGCGGGACUUAACCCAACAUCUCACGACACGAGCUGACGACAGCCAUGCAGCACCUGUCUCCGCGCCCCUUGCGGGGACCACCCAUCUCUGGGCUUAGCACGGGAUGUCAAGGCCUGGUAAGGUUCUGCGCGUUGCGUCGAAUUAAACCACAUGCUCCACCGCUUGUGCAGGCCCCCGUCAAUUUCUUUGAGUUUUAACCUUGCGGCCGUACUCCCCAGGCGGAUGACUUAACGCGUUAGCUGCGCCACCGAAACGCCAAGCGCCCCGACAGCUAGUCAUCAUCGUUUACGGCGUGGACUAC
RNAcentral lists this unclassified non-coding RNA (378 nucleotides) under uncultured Alphaproteobacteria bacterium. RNAcentral's name for it is "contains 16S-23S intergenic spacer region". The record is from RNAcentral. Lineage: Bacteria; Pseudomonadati; Pseudomonadota; Alphaproteobacteria.